RNAcentral lists this ribosomal RNA (446 nucleotides) under uncultured bacterium. Its description in RNAcentral is "bacterial SSU rRNA". It matches the Rfam family "Bacterial small subunit ribosomal RNA", at positions 329 to 792 of the family's 1533-position model. The record is from RNAcentral.
UACCAGACUCCUACGGGAGGCAGCAGUGGGGAAUAUUGCACAAUGGGGGAAACCCUGAUGCAGCGACGCCGCGUGGGUGACGAAGUAUUUCGGUAUGUAAAGCCCUAUCAGCAGGGAAGAAGAUGACAGUACCUGACUAAGAAGCCCCGGCUAACUACGUGCCAGCAGCCGCGGUAAUACGUAGGGGGCAAGCGUUAUCCGGAUUUACUGGGUGUAAAGGGAGCGUAGGUGGCAUGGCAAGCCAGAAGUGAAAACCCGGGGCUCAACCCUGGGACUGCUCUGGAAACUGUAAAGCUGGAGUGCGGGAGGGGCAGGCGGAAUUCCUGGUGUAGCGGUGAAAUGCGUAGAUAUCAGGAGGAACACCGGCGGCGAAGGCGGCCUGCUGGACCGUAACUGACGUUGAGGCUCGAAAGCGUGGGGAGCAAACAGGAUUAGAUACCCGGGUA